RNAcentral lists this ribosomal RNA (705 nucleotides) under Arthrobacter sp. RNAcentral's name for it is "bacterial SSU rRNA". It matches the Rfam family "Bacterial small subunit ribosomal RNA", at positions 67 to 784 of the family's 1533-position model. Lineage: Bacteria; Bacillati; Actinomycetota; Actinomycetes; Micrococcales; Micrococcaceae. The record is from RNAcentral.
CGAUGAUCCCAGCUUGCUGGGGGAUUAGUGGCGAACGGGUGAGUAACACGUGAGUAACCUGCCCUUGACUCUGGGAUAAGCCUGGGAAACCGGGUCUAAUACUGGAUAUGACCUUCUGGCGCAUGCCAUGUUGGUGGAAAGCUUUAUUGCGGUUUUGGAUGGACUCGCGGCCUAUCAGCUUGUUGGUGGGGUAAUGGCCUACCAAGGCGACGACGGGUAGCCGGCCUGAGAGGGUGGACGGCCACACUGGGACUGAGACACGGCCCAGACUCCUACGGGAGGCAGCAGUGGGGAAUAUUGCACAAUGGGCGCAAGCCUGAUGCAGCGACGCCGCGUGGGGGAUGAAGGCCUUCGGGUUGUAAACCUCUUUCAGUAGGGAAGAAGCGAAAGUGACGGUACCUGCAGAAGAAGCGCCGGCUAACUACGUGCCAGCAGCCGCGGUAAUACGUAGGGCGCAAGCGUUAUCCGGAAUUAUUGGGCGUAAAGAGCUCGUAGGCGGUUUGUCGCGUCUGCCGUGAAAGUCCGGGGCUUAACUCCGGAUCUGCGGUGGGUACGGGCAGACUAGAGUGAUGUAGGGGAGACUGGAAUUCCUGGUGUAGCGGUGAAAUGCGCAGAUAUCAGGAGGAACACCGAUGGCGAAGGCAGGUCUCUGGGCAUUAACUGACGCUGAGGAGCGAAAGCAUGGGGAGCGAACAGGAUUAGAUA